Sapajus apella (tufted capuchin) is the source of this 656-nucleotide long non-coding RNA. RefSeq lists it as uncharacterized. The record is from RefSeq and is a predicted model, not a curated record. The transcript is spliced from 2 exons. NCBI's taxonomy places the organism in Eukaryota, Metazoa, Chordata, Mammalia, Primates, Cebidae.
AAUAUGGAGAUUUGUUACAUAGGUAUAUACAUGCCAUGGUGGUUUGCUGCUCUUGUCUUUCUUAACUGAGUUCUGCUAGCUUAUGUUUCACUUUCUGUCUUCAUGUAACCGUCAGAGGAUCCUUUGGGUAUUGCUUUACCAGCCAGAAAACCUCUGUGGCUGGCAGUGCCUCUGCUUGAGUUUUGCUCAUGCCUGUUGGACUCAUUCUGCCCACUCAGCCUGGCAGGCUGCACUUGGCUUGUGCUAUGGAUCAUAUGUCUGCCAAGGGUGAGCCAGGUGUAGAGUGGCAAGGGGUGUGUGAGCAAGUGAGUGCAGGGUCUGGCCAUUGCAUAAAACCAGACAUGCCAGCUGCAGUGGCAAGGCAGGCAGUCCCAGGCACUGGCACAGGUGCCAGCUGCAUGUGAGGCUGCAGCUGGGCCAGAUCGCAAGCAGCUUCUGCUGGGUGCACCACUGUCUGGACAAGGCGAAUGCAGUGGCACCUGAAAACUAGGAGACACCAACAACUGCAGAACUCCAAAGAGGGUGUUAUAGUGUGUCACAGACCUGGCCUGGGGAGCUCCUGGUUCUGGGGUCCCAGCAGGGCUGCAGCUCUUCUCUGCUUCUCAUCACCUGUGGCACAAGGCUGAAAUAAGAAUAGAUGCUACUUAGAAAUGUCU